UAUCUCUGUAGAGUCUGCAUAUCAAUAAGCGGAGGAAAAGAAACUAACAAGGAUUCCCUUAGUAACGGCGAGUGAAGCGGGAAGAGCUCAAAUUUGAAAUCUUCAAGGUUCUACCUUGAGCGAAUUGUAGUUUAAAGAAGUGUUUUCUGUUGAAGUUUCGGUAAAAGUUCUUUGGAAUAGGACAUCAUAGAGGGUGAGAAUCCCGUAUUUGACCGUUAUUUUCAGCUGUGUGAUACACUUUCAAAGAGUCGGAUUGUUUGGGAAUGCAGUCCAAAAUGGGUGGUAAAUUUCAUCUAAAGCUAAAUAUUGGCGAGAGACCGAUAGCGAACAAGUACCGUGAGGGAAAGAUGAAAAGAACUUUGAAAAGAGAGUUAAACAGUACGUGAAAUUGUCAAAAGGGAAGCGUUUGACACCAGUGUUGUUUUUCUGAAAAUCAAUUAAAGAACUGUUUAUGCUAAGCUGUUUAGACUUUAUCAGCUAUCUGUUUAGUUUUGAGCUUUUCUUUAAUGCACUUUUCGGUUAACAAGUCAACAUCAAUUUCUUUUGCUGUAAAAAAGCUUGAGGAAGGUGGCUUGAGAUUCGUCUUAAGUGUUUAUAGCCUUUGACUUCUGCAAUCGGAGAGACUGAGGUCUGCAGCGUAGAUCCUUCUGGAUUAGAUUCAUUUGUGCUAAGUUACAACCGUUUAUAGACAACUUGUUGACUAUAUUCGAUCCUGUAGCUUACUCGCUUAUGUAAUUUUACCUACGCUUAGGAUGUUGAUAUGCAUGACUGAUAU
RNAcentral lists this ribosomal RNA (775 nucleotides) under uncultured Neocallimastigales. RNAcentral describes it as "partial large subunit ribosomal RNA". It matches the Rfam family "Eukaryotic large subunit ribosomal RNA", at positions 24 to 640 of the family's 3401-position model. The record is from RNAcentral. Lineage: Eukaryota; Fungi; Neocallimastigomycota; Neocallimastigomycetes; Neocallimastigales.